RNAcentral lists this long non-coding RNA (556 nucleotides) under Nicotiana benthamiana. Its description in RNAcentral is "long non-coding RNA (NBEN_LNC021555)". The record is from RNAcentral. Lineage: Eukaryota; Viridiplantae; Streptophyta; Magnoliopsida; Solanales; Solanaceae.
UGCAAAAUACAGUUGGGAAAUCAUAAGAACAAGGUAUAAGAAAAUACAGUAGAAGAAAACACAUAAGAAUCACAAUAGAACAUGUAAAAUCAGAGAUUCCCUAAGUCAUAGAAGAUGAAAGGUUUGAAAGUAAAAUUUGAAAGAAACUUUGGGAAAUUGUUUGAAACCUUAAAAUAAAUACAGAUUUAGAACAGAUCUAGAGAAAUCAGGAGAACCUCAAAAGACUAAGGUUUCAGAAGAACCCUAGAAGCGAGAAAGCCUGGAAAAGUCAUGAUGUAAGCCAGAAGAUACAACAAUUAGGCUCAAAAGACCAAGAGCCACCAGAGCAAGGCCGGAGAUGGCCAGGAUCUUCGAAUAUGUGAAGGUCUGAAUGAACAACCUCGAGGUCUGGCCUCGAUUCUUCCAACAACAGGCAUGCAGGAGCCAUAGGAAGCAAGUAUGGGCCUUCAAUGGUUUUGGAAGCCAUGGAUUCAGGCGGCUUUUAGGUGGUGAUGGUAGAAGGCGGCUAAGGUUUGAGGGGGAGUUGAGAGAGAACUAAGAUAGAAGGGAUUCAGAG